This 253-nucleotide ribosomal RNA is filed under the name uncultured bacterium. RNAcentral describes it as "partial 16S ribosomal RNA". It matches the Rfam family "Bacterial small subunit ribosomal RNA", at positions 524 to 776 of the family's 1533-position model. The record is from RNAcentral.
UCCGGAGGGGGCUAGCGUUGUUCGGAAUUACUGGGCGUAAGGCGCACGUAGGCGGACUGGAAAGUCAGAGGUGAAAUCCCAGGGCUCAACCUUGGAACUGCCUUUGAAACUCCCGGUCUUGAGGUCGAGAGAGGUGAGUGGAAUUCCGAGUGUAGAGGUGAAAUUCGUAGAUAUUCGGAGGAACACCAGUGGCGAAGGCGGCUCACUGGCUCGAUACUGACGCUGUGGUGCGAAAGCGUGGGGAGCAAACUGG